AUGUCUGUCAACGACUUGGAGUUGGUGUGUUGGAAUGUCAGAGGCCUUAACAACCCGGCCAAGAGGAAGGCACUAAGAGGCUUUGUAGACUCUGUGUGUGCUGCGAUUGUAUGUAUUUUAGAAACUAAGCUAGAGGAUGUGAACAUCUAUGUAAUCUUGCAAUGCAUGGGACCAAACUAUGAUGGUUUUACUUACUUACCAGCGUCGGAGACGAGAGGUGGUAUUUUUGUGGCCUGG
This 237-nucleotide ribosomal RNA is filed under the name Triticum aestivum (bread wheat). Its description in RNAcentral is "partial small subunit ribosomal RNA". Lineage: Eukaryota; Viridiplantae; Streptophyta; Magnoliopsida; Poales; Poaceae. The record is from RNAcentral.